UAAUUAUCAAUUUUACCCACAUUGAAAUUGAUUCGGAACUAUAAUUUUUUCGAUACUCUCUCAGAGUCUACUUAUGUGGGUUUUUAUUUAAAAAAUAAUAGGUGUGGUCGAGUAAUGUCUUCUUCACGUACGUACACCACGGAAUAAGACGCGUACAAUUUCGAAAAAAUCGCAAAUACCGAAAAACGCUGUGGUAUAAAA
Molecule: non-coding RNA, 201 nt
Organism: Cinara cedri
Lineage: Eukaryota; Metazoa; Arthropoda; Insecta; Hemiptera; Aphididae
Source: the annotation of a GenBank genome assembly